Molecule: transfer RNA, 66 nt
Filed under: Hydroptila angulata
Lineage: Eukaryota; Metazoa; Arthropoda; Insecta; Trichoptera; Hydroptilidae
Description: tRNA-Thr
Source: RNAcentral
GUUUUAAUAGUUUAAUAAAAACAUUGAUCUUGUAAAUCAAAAAUUAUAUAUUAAUAUAAUAAAACU